ACAGUUAAAUUGCAUGUACUAAAACUGGAAUGAUACAGUGAAGAUUAGCAUGGCAUCUGAUCAAGGAUAAAACACAGAUUCCUCAUGGGAAACAUCAAAGG
This 101-nucleotide small nuclear RNA is filed under the name Pelusios castaneus (West African mud turtle). Lineage: Eukaryota; Metazoa; Chordata; Testudines; Pelomedusidae. The record is from RNAcentral.